Molecule: ribosomal RNA, 333 nt
Filed under: Gammaproteobacteria bacterium
Lineage: Bacteria; Pseudomonadati; Pseudomonadota; Gammaproteobacteria
Description: bacterial LSU rRNA
Rfam family: Bacterial large subunit ribosomal RNA
Source: RNAcentral
GCUGUUCGCCAAUUAAAGCGGUACGCGAGCUGGGUUCAGAACGUCGUGAGACAGUUCGGUCUCCUAUCUACCACGGGCGUCGAAGAUUGAGGGAACUCGCCCCUAGUACGAGAGGACCGGGGUGAACGCACCUCUCGUGUACCGGUUGUUCUGCCAAGGGCAUUGCCGGGUAGCGACGUGCGGUUCGGAUAAGCGCUGAAGGCAUCUAAGCACGAAGCCGAUCCCAAGAUUAAUCUUCAUUUGAGCCUCCUGCGAGAUGAGCAGGUUGAUAGGCGGUAGGUGUAAGCGUGGUAACACGUUGAGCCGAGCCGUACUAAUAAGGCAAGCUCUACA